AUGAAUAAACUUGGCAUGCUGAUGCUGACCUCUCGAGGUAUGUGCACGCUUGUCAUCUUUAUAUCUCCACCUGUGCACUUCUGUGGGACUGGAAGCAGAGUGAUGAGCUUGCCUCUUUGAUCUUUACUCUCAGUUCUACGUUUUUUUCAUACCCACCUUUGAAUGUAAAUGAAUGAUCACUAGGUCGUUGAACCUAUAAUAAAGUUAUA
RNAcentral lists this unclassified non-coding RNA (209 nucleotides) under uncultured fungus. RNAcentral's name for it is "sequence contains ITS1, 5.8S rRNA gene". The record is from RNAcentral. Lineage: Eukaryota; Fungi.